RNAcentral lists this ribosomal RNA (1481 nucleotides) under uncultured bacterium. RNAcentral describes it as "bacterial SSU rRNA". It matches the Rfam family "Bacterial small subunit ribosomal RNA". The record is from RNAcentral.
AGGGUUUGAUCAUGGCUCAGAUUGAACGCUGGCGGAAUGCUUUACACAUGCAAGUCGAACGGCAGCACGGACUUCGGUCUGGUGGCGAGUGGCGAACGGGUGAGUAAUAUAUCGGAACGUGCCCAGUCGUGGGGGAUAACGUAGUGAAAAUUACGCUAAUACCGCAUACGAUCUAAGGAUGAAAGCGGGGGAUCGCAAGACCUCGCGCGAUUGGAGCGGCCGAUAUCAGAUUAGGUAGUUGGUGAGGUAAAGGCUCACCAAGCCAACGAUCUGUAGCUGGUCUGAGAGGACGACCAGCCACACUGGAACUGAGACACGGCCCAGACUCCUACGGGAGGCAGCAGUGGGGAAUAUUGCACAAUGGGCGCAAGCCUGAUGCAGCAACGCCGCGUGAGGGAUGAAGGCCUUCGGGUUGUAAACCUCUUUUAGCAGGGAAGAAGCGAAAGUGACGGUACCUGCAGAAAAAGCACCGGCUAACUACGUGCCAGCAGCCGCGGUAAUACGUAGGGUGCAAGCGUUGUCCGGAAUUAUUGGGCGUAAAGAGCUCGUAGGCGGUUUGUCACGUCUGCUGUGAAAAUCCAAGGCUCAACCUUGGACUUGCAGUGGGUACGGGCAGGCUAGAGUGCGGUAGGGGAGAUGGGAAUUCCUGGUGUAGCGGUGGAAUGCGCAGAUAUCAGGAGGAACACCAAUGGCGAAGGCACAUCUCUGGGCCGUAACUGACGCUGAGGAGCGAAAGCGUGGGGAGCGAACAGGAUUAGAUACCCUGGUAGUCCACGCCGUAAACGGUGGGUGCUAGCUGUGGGCCACAUUCCACGUGGUCCGUGACGAAGUUAACACAUUAAGCACCCCGCCUGGGGAGUACGGCCGCAAGGCUAAAACUCAAAGGAAUUGACGGGGGCCCGCACAAGCGGCGGAGCAUGCGGAUUAAUUCGAUGCAACGCGAAGAACCUUACCAAGGCUUGACAUAUAGAGGAAAAGUGCAGAAAUGCACUCCCCGCAAGGUCUCUAUACAGGUGGUGCAUGGUUGUCGUCAGCUCGUGUCGUGAGAUGUUGGGUUAAGUCCCGCAACGAGCGCAACCCUCGUCCUAUGUUGCCAGCACGUAAUGGUGGGAACUCAUGGGAUACUGCCGGGGUCAACUCGGAGGAAGGUGGGGAUGACGUCAAAUCAUCAUGCCCCUUAUGUCUUGGGCUUCACGCAUGCUACAAUGGCCGGUACAGAGGGCUGCAAUACCGCAAGGUGGAGCGAAUCCCAAAAAGCCGGUCUCAGUUCGGAUUGAGGUCUGCAACUCGACCUCAUGAAGUCGGAGUCGCUAGUAAUCGUAGAUCAGCAACGCUACGGUGAAUACGUUCCCGGGCCUUGUACACACCGCCCGUCAAGUCACGAAAGUCGAUAACACCCGAAGCCGGUGGCCUAACCGCAAGGAGGGAGCCGUCGAAGGUGGGAUUGGUGAUUGGGACUAAGUCGUAACAAGGUAACCGUA